This 436-nucleotide ribosomal RNA is filed under the name uncultured bacterium. Its description in RNAcentral is "bacterial SSU rRNA". It matches the Rfam family "Bacterial small subunit ribosomal RNA", at positions 43 to 524 of the family's 1533-position model. The record is from RNAcentral.
CAGGCCUAACACAUGCAAGUCGAACGCUCGUCUUCGGACGGGAGUGGCAGACGGGUGAGUAACGCGUGGGAACGUACCCUCCGGUUCGGGAUACCCAGGGAAACUUGGGCUAAUACCGGAUACGUGCUAUGGCAGAAAGGUUUACUGCCGGAGGAUCGGCCCGCGUCUGAUUAGCUAGUUGGUGGGGUAACGGCCUACCAAGGCUGCGAUCAGUAGCUGGUCUGAGAGGAUGAUCAGCCACACUGGGACUGAGACACGGCCCAGACUCCUACGGGAGGCAGCAGUGGGGAAUAUUGGACAAUGGGCGCAAGCCUGAUCCAGCCAUGCCGCGUGAGUGAUGAAGGCCUUAGGGUUGUAAAGCUCUUUUACCCGGGACGAUAAUGACGGUACCGGGAGAAUAAGCCCCGGCUAACUUCGUGCCAGCAGCCGCGGUAAU